AAAUCCAGCCCUAGGUUUGGGGCGGGGCCAGCCUCAAGGACCCGGCCUGGGUGCAGGCAGCCCAGCGCCCCCACCCCAGCCCCGGCUCACCUGUUCCGGGGUCGCCCCGCAGAUCUUCAACUUGAUGAAGUUCGACAGCUAUGCGCGCUUCGUCAAGUCCCCGCUGUACCGCGAGUGCCUGCUAGCCGAAGCCGAGGGACGCCCUCUGCGGGAACCUGGCUCCUCGCGCCUCGGCAGCCCUGACGCCACGAGGAAGAAGCCGAAGCUGAAGCCCGGGAAGUCGCUGCCGCUGGGUGUGGAGGAGUUGGGGCAGCUGCCACCCGUUGAGGGUCCCGGGGGCCGCCCUCUCCGCAAGUCCUUCCGCCGGGGUGAGGGCAGGAGCGAGCAACAGAGAUGUGGGGAAGGCGGGAGUUUGGUUAAAUUUGGGGAGUGCCCCCUUCCUCCUACGUGGCCCACAGUCUGUAAGUCUGUGAAAAUUGAAACGCAGGUCCCAGUGACCACCACACUCCCCUGGGUGGUUCGGGUCUUGGGCUAGACCUCAGACGUUUGGAAAUCUCCA
This 559-nucleotide small RNA is filed under the name Pan troglodytes (chimpanzee). RNAcentral's name for it is "retained intron". The record is from RNAcentral. Lineage: Eukaryota; Metazoa; Chordata; Mammalia; Primates; Hominidae.